GGACAGAUGGCCGAGCUGGUUAUGGCGGUAAGCAGCAAUCGUCAUCUCAACAUUCAACCGUGCUAAUUCAAAUUCCAGCCAGGUUAAGGUGAUCCCUUAGCACAAUUUCCUGGUCACGAAAGUGGCGUGGGUUCGAGUCCCACUCUGUUCA
Non-coding RNA from Hyaloscypha bicolor E, 151 nucleotides. NCBI's taxonomy places the organism in Eukaryota, Fungi, Ascomycota, Leotiomycetes, Helotiales, Hyaloscyphaceae. The record is from the annotation of a RefSeq genome assembly.